UGUUGUUUAGCUUGGUGGUAGAGCGUAUGACUUUAAAUCUAGUGGUCGUUGAUUCGAUCAACAUAGACAG
Molecule: transfer RNA, 70 nt
Organism: Brassica oleracea var. oleracea
Lineage: Eukaryota; Viridiplantae; Streptophyta; Magnoliopsida; Brassicales; Brassicaceae
Rfam family: tRNA
About the family: Transfer RNA (tRNA) molecules are approximately 80 nucleotides in length. Their secondary structure includes four short double-helical elements and three loops (D, anti-codon, and T loops).
Source: Rfam